This 444-nucleotide long non-coding RNA is filed under the name Salvia miltiorrhiza (redroot sage). Its description in RNAcentral is "long non-coding RNA (SMIL_LNC012320)". Lineage: Eukaryota; Viridiplantae; Streptophyta; Magnoliopsida; Lamiales; Lamiaceae. The record is from RNAcentral.
AAACUUAAAAUAAAUGAAUUUUCUUUAUUUUUACCCACCUCAAAUCCUUGGUAGUAAACUUGAUUAAUGCUUAACUCGGGGAUAGAGAUCCUAAUUGCGCCGCACCUAAUCACAUAAAUACAUAAUACCAUGUAAGGGCCUAAAAAAAUAAAAUAAAAUAAAAUAAAAUAAAUAACAUAUCUUAACUUAAAUAAUAUCUAACUAAUUACCUCAUAUAAGUUAAAUAAAUCUUAUACCUAGCCCGCUAACACAUACUUAAGCCCAAUAUUUUAAAUACAACAAAUUAAUACAUCCUAAGGCCCAAAUAAAAAUAAUACGUAAAUAUUUAUUAUCAACUCAAUAAUAAAAAUCUGAUCUAGGCGCAAUUUCGAACUUCCUGAAAUCCCCUACACAUAAAAUCAAGAAUAAAAUAUAAAGAGACUAUUUUCUCGAAUUUUAAUAAAU